This 514-nucleotide ribosomal RNA is filed under the name uncultured bacterium. RNAcentral describes it as "bacterial SSU rRNA". It matches the Rfam family "Archaeal small subunit ribosomal RNA", at positions 725 to 1236 of the family's 1478-position model. The record is from RNAcentral.
AGUGAAUAGAUACCCUGGUAGUCCCAGCUGUAAACGAUGCGCGUUAGGUGUAUCGGUGACCACGAGUCACCGAGGUGCCGAAGGGAAACCGUGAAACGUGCCGCCUGGGAAGUACGGUCGCAAGGCUGAAACUUAAAGGAAUUGGCGGGGGAGCACCACAACAGGUGGAGCCUGCGGUUUAAUCGGACUCAACGCCGGGAAGCUCACCGGAUAAGACAGCUGAAUGAUAGCCGGGUUGAAGACUCUGCUUGACUAGCUGAGAGGAGGUGCAUGGCCGUCGUCAGUUCGUACUGUGAAGCAUCCUGUUAAGUCAGGCAACGAGCGAGACCCACGCCAACAGUUGCCAGCAUGUCCUCCGGGAUGGUGGGGACACUGUUGGGACCGCCUCUGCUAAAGAGGAGGAAGGAAUGGGCAACGGUAGGUCAGCAUGCCCUGAAUUAUCCGGGCUACACGCGGGCUACAAUGGUCAGGACAAUGGGUAUCAACACCGAAACGGUGAAGGCAAUCUCCUAAA